GUGAAGCGGCCAAAGCUCAAAUUUUGAAAUCCUGGCACCUUCCGGUGUCCGAAGUUGUAAUUUGAAGAAGGUAACUUUGGAGUUGGCUCUUGUCUAUGUUCCUUGGAACAGGACGUCACAGAGGGUGAGAAUCCCGUGCGAUGAGAUGCCCAAUUCUAUGUAAAGUGCUUUCGAAGAGUCGAGUUGUUUGGGAAUGCAGCUCUAAAGUGGGUGGUAAAUUCCAUCUAAAGCUAAAUAUUGGCGAGAGACCGAUAGCGAACAAGUACAGUGAUGGAAAGAUGAAAAGAACUUUGAAAAGAGAGUGAAAAAGUACGUGAAAUUGUUGAAAGGGAAGGGCUUGAGAUCAGACUUGGUAUUUUGCGAUCCUUUCCUUCUUGGUUGGGUUCCUCGCAGCUUACUGGGCCAGCAUCGGUUUGGAUGGUAGGAUAAUGACUAAGGAAUGUGGCUCUACUUCGGUGGAGUGUUAUAGCCUUGGUUGAUACUGCCUGUCUAGACCGAGGACUGCGUCUUUUGACUAGGAUGUUGGCAUAAUGAUCUUAAGCCACCCGUCUUGA
This 554-nucleotide ribosomal RNA is filed under the name Debaryomyces hansenii. Its description in RNAcentral is "eukaryotic LSU rRNA". It matches the Rfam family "Eukaryotic large subunit ribosomal RNA", at positions 93 to 657 of the family's 3401-position model. Lineage: Eukaryota; Fungi; Ascomycota; Pichiomycetes; Serinales; Debaryomycetaceae. The record is from RNAcentral.